This 741-nucleotide ribosomal RNA is filed under the name Tsukamurella sp. RNAcentral's name for it is "bacterial SSU rRNA". It matches the Rfam family "Bacterial small subunit ribosomal RNA", at positions 106 to 859 of the family's 1533-position model. Lineage: Bacteria; Bacillati; Actinomycetota; Actinomycetes; Mycobacteriales; Tsukamurellaceae. The record is from RNAcentral.
GUGAGUAACACGUGGGUGACCUGCCCUGUACUUCGGGAUAAGCCUGGGAAACUGGGUCUAAUACCGGAUAUGACCUUCCCCUGCAUGGGGGUUGGUGGAAAGCUUUUGCGGUACAGGAUGGGCCCGCGGCCUAUCAGCUUGUUGGUGGGGUAAUGGCCUACCAAGGCGACGACGGGUAGCCGGCCUGAGAGGGCGACCGGCCACACUGGGACUGAGACACGGCCCAGACUCCUACGGGAGGCAGCAGUGGGGAAUAUUGCACAAUGGGCGAAAGCCUGAUGCAGCGACGCCGCGUGAGGGAUGACGGCCUUCGGGUUGUAAACCUCUUUCAGUAGGGACGAAGCGCAAGUGACGGUACCUACAGAAGAAGCACCGGCCAACUACGUGCCAGCAGCCGCGGUAAUACGUAGGGUGCGAGCGUUGUCCGGAUUUACUGGGCGUAAAGAGCUCGUAGGCGGUUUGUCACGUCGUCUGUGAAAACCCGAGGCUUAACCUCGGGCCUGCAGGCGAUACGGGCAGACUUGAGUACUGUAGGGGAGACUGGAAUUCCUGGUGUAGCGGUGGAAUGCGCAGAUAUCAGGAGGAACACCGGUGGCGAAGGCGGGUCUCUGGGCAGUAACUGACGCUGAGGAGCGAAAGCGUGGGUAGCGAACAGGAUUAGAUACCCUGGUAGUCCACGCCGUAAACGGUGGGUACUAGGUGUGGGUUUCCUUCCACGGGAUCCGUGCCGUAGCUAACGCA